UGCAUCUGUUUGACAGACCUGGAGCAAUUACUGUCUGCUGCUGAGAGUUCCACUACAGAUACAAGAAAAAGUGUCCUUACGCCUUCUGUCUGAUUGUGGCAGCCACAUUUGAAUGGGAGAACAUUG
This 126-nucleotide small nucleolar RNA is filed under the name Carlito syrichta (Philippine tarsier). RNAcentral describes it as "Small nucleolar RNA SNORA31 (ENSTSYG00000023868.2)". The record is from RNAcentral. Lineage: Eukaryota; Metazoa; Chordata; Mammalia; Primates; Tarsiidae.